UACGUAGGGUGCAAGCGUUGUUCGGAAUAACUGGGCGUAAAGGGCGCGUAGGCGGGUUUGUAAGUUGUCUGUGAAAUUCCUGGGCUUAACCUGGGCGCGGCAGACAAUACUGCAGAUCUUGAGUGCUUGAGAGGAUGGCGGAAUUCCAGGUGUAGAAGUGAAAUUCGUAGAUAUCUGGAAGAACACCGGAGGCGAAGGCGGCUGUCUGGCAAGACACUGACGCUAAGGCGCGAAAGCGUGGGGAUCAAACAGG
This 253-nucleotide ribosomal RNA is filed under the name uncultured bacterium. RNAcentral describes it as "partial 16S ribosomal RNA". It matches the Rfam family "Bacterial small subunit ribosomal RNA", at positions 524 to 776 of the family's 1533-position model. The record is from RNAcentral.